This 682-nucleotide ribosomal RNA is filed under the name uncultured Pseudomonadota bacterium. RNAcentral's name for it is "bacterial SSU rRNA". It matches the Rfam family "Bacterial small subunit ribosomal RNA", at positions 60 to 719 of the family's 1533-position model. The record is from RNAcentral. Lineage: Bacteria; Pseudomonadati; Pseudomonadota.
AGUCGAGCGGUAACAGGCAUUUUGAUUCAGCUUGCUGAAUCUCGCGCUGACGAGCGGCGGACGGGUGAGUAACGCGUAGGAAUCUACCUAGUAGAAGGGGAUAGCCCGGGGAAACUCGGAUUAAUACCGUAUACGUCCUUAGGGAGAAAGAGGGCUUAGCUUUGAUGCUCUCGCUAUUAGAUGAGCCUGCGUAAGAUUAGCUCGUUGGUGAGGUAAAGGCUCACCAAGGCUACGAUCUUUAGCUGGUCUGAGAGGACGAUCAGCCACACUGGGACUGAGACACGGCCCAGACUCCUACGGGAGGCAGCAGUGGGGAAUAUUGGACAAUGGGCGCAAGCCUGAUCCAGCCAUACCGCGUGUGUGAAGAAGGCCUUCGGGUUGUAAAGCACUUUAAGUAAGGAAGAAAAGUAUAUUGUUAAUACCAAUGUACCGUGACAUUACUUACAGAAUAAGGACCGGCUAAUUCCGUGCCAGCAGCCGCGGUAAUACGGAGGGGGUUAGCGUUGUUCGGAAUUACUGGGCGUAAAGCGCACGUAGGCGGAUUAGAAAGUUGGGGGUGAAAUCCCGGGGCUCAACCUCGGAACGGCCUCCAAAACUCCUAGUCUAGAGUUCGAGAGAGGUGAGUGGAAUUCCAAGUGUAGAGGUGAAAUUCGUAGAUAUUUGGAGGAACACCAGUGGCGAA